GACGAACGCUGGCGGCGUGCCUAAUACAUGCAAGUCGAACGCUGAAGGUGGAGCUUGCUUCUCUGCAUGAGUUGCGAACGGGUGAGUAACGCGUAGUUAACCUGCCUGGAAGCGGGGGAUAACUAUUGGAAACGAUAGCUAAUACCGCAUAAGAGUAGAUGACGCAUGACAUUUGCUUAUAAGUUGCAAUUGCAUCACUUCCCGAUGGUCCUGCGUUGUAUUAGCUAGUUGGUGAGGUAACGGCUCACCAAGGCAACGAUACAUAGCCGACCUGAGAGGGUGAUCGGCCACACUGGGACUGAGACACGGCCCAGACUCCUACGGGAGGCAGCAGUAGGGAAUCUUCGGCAAUGGACGGAUGUCUGACCGAGCAACGCCGCGUGAGUGAAGAAGGUUUUCGGAUCGUAAAGCUCUGUUGUAAGAGAAGAACGAGUGUGAGAGUGGAAAGUUCACACUGUGACGGUAUCUUACCAGAAAGGGACGGCUAACUACGUG
Molecule: ribosomal RNA, 495 nt
Filed under: uncultured bacterium
Lineage: Bacteria
Description: partial 16S ribosomal RNA
Rfam family: Bacterial small subunit ribosomal RNA
Source: RNAcentral